GAGAGAAAUGAAAGAAGGUGUGGUGGAAGAGGAGGACAUAAAGAAUUUGAUGUGGGGGCUUAAAUAGGGAUAGGACCCCCCAAUAGCCUCUACCACAUGUUUGUCCUUACUAAUAACCUCACCCUGCCAUUUUUCACCUGCUCUUUGCUUCUUUUCCACGUCUUGGCAUGGUUCAGACAGACCAAGAUUGAUGGAUUCUGAAAUUAUAACUAUAGCAUUCAUUCAGAGGAACAACAACUUCAGAAACCCAUACUCACUUUUCUCUCACACCC
Molecule: long non-coding RNA, 272 nt
Filed under: Vigna radiata
Lineage: Eukaryota; Viridiplantae; Streptophyta; Magnoliopsida; Fabales; Fabaceae
Description: long non-coding RNA (VRAD_LNC003412)
Source: RNAcentral